GGGAUAUAGCUCAGUUGGUAGAGCUCCGCUCCUGCAAU
RNAcentral lists this transfer RNA (38 nucleotides) under Epipremnum aureum. Its description in RNAcentral is "partial tRNA-Ala". The record is from RNAcentral. Lineage: Eukaryota; Viridiplantae; Streptophyta; Magnoliopsida; Alismatales; Araceae.